This is a long non-coding RNA of Apus apus (common swift), 749 nucleotides long. RefSeq lists it as uncharacterized. The transcript has 3 exons. The record is from RefSeq and is a predicted model, not a curated record. Lineage: Eukaryota; Metazoa; Chordata; Aves; Apodiformes; Apodidae.
UGAAUGAAAUAUCACUGCAGAGCCUGUGCUGAAGCAAAUCGUUGAUUCGGUGGUGGUUCAGCUCUUGGAACUCAAGUGGCCUGGCUUUCCAAAAGGAAAAAUCUGAAGACAAGUCUCAAAAUGUUUAAAACUCUCUGCUCUAAAAAGUGUGAAGCAGUUCAUCCGUAAACUGUACUUCAAAUAAUCCCAAACAUUAUAAUCUAAAAAGGUAUUUUGUACGUGCUACCAUAGCUUUGCUUGGAGAGCUGUGGAGGGGUCACACAAAGUACCCCAGAAGCGUUGAUGUCUGGCCCUGCUGUGGCUGUGCGAUUCCUCUGCCUGGUCCUGGUGCAAGACACUAUAUAUCGAGAACUGCUUUGCCUCUUGUGUCAACAAGCUGAUGACUUUGCUGUGGAGUUAUUGCAAUCACAGCUCAGCAUCUCUCCACUUGGGUUUGGUACCCCUAAGGGAAAUGAGAGAGCUCUUGCAGAGUGCCUGUGGGCUAGGCAAGAAUUUACCCUUCCUUGGUGAGUGAUAGAGAUCAUGAUUGCUUAGGUUACAAACUCAUUCCGGUAUAAUGAUGUGGAGACUAUUGCCGGGUGCAACCUGUCUGCAUGGGGGAAGAGUUUCUAACCUAAGCAAUCACGAUUUUUAUCACACACCUUCAUCAUCAUCUUCAUCAUCAUCAUGCUUCCCACAAAAACCAGGGGCAAACAGAUGAAGUAAAAUAGCACCCAUAAAUAAAAACAAAUAAAAUCAUUAUACUUGGG